Long non-coding RNA from Macaca fascicularis (crab-eating macaque), 1948 nucleotides. NCBI's taxonomy places the organism in Eukaryota, Metazoa, Chordata, Mammalia, Primates, Cercopithecidae. The record is from Ensembl.
AACAGUGACAACUGCCUGCUUCAUGGGCAGAGAUGAAGUAAUUGCUUCCUGGGAAGUACCAUCCUCCUGGCCACACUCUCCAGCCCAUUUCGUUUGUGUUGGUUUCCUCGCAUCUGCACGUUUCUGGCUUCAUGUGAGUCUCAUUUAUUGUAGCAUAUGACUUCAGGCUGUGGGGAAGAAUGGCCAUUUUAGCACAGAGAUGCACACAAAGGAACAACUGGCUAAAUAGCACAACCCCUCAGGUGGCCACCAUGAAUCUCUGGUGUUUUCAGCUGGUUGAAGCCUAUUUGCCGUCUCUGGUUCAAACAUAUUCGAAACCUGAUGAUGCUUCCCUUGGUUGUUCUGCUGUGUGACCUCCAGCCCGCGGGUUCAAGAGUGUCAGAGCUGGGAGCCGCCUUCACAACUACCAGGGUUUCCGGAACCUCCUUUAUCUAGCCCUGGGGACGGAAGAGAUGUCAUCAGAGGUGAAGGCUUAUUGGUUUACAUGCCAUUGAUAAUGAACGAGGAGGUUUUCUUUUAUAUAAGGGGAGCUUCUUAUAAUGUGCUUUAGUAGGGUAAAGAAGCUUUUGAGGUUUGCUUUCUCUGGAAGGAUAAUUUGUGAUCCUGCCCUUGCUUUCAACAAAAAUAUAAUUUGCAUACCAGUGCAUGUUGUGUUACUGAGCACUGGCUGACAAAUGGUUCUUAACUCGUCAUUCACUCAGUCAUUCUUUCUUGAAUGGCAUAUGUGUGCCAGCCGUAGUAGGAACUUGCUAGGCUCUAGGACUAACCCUUAUGAAACGGGGGUCCUGGGGGAAGCAAAUGCAUAUAACUAUAAACGUUUGUGGGGAUAUCAGAGGGGGUGCCUAUAGGUGCAAAGCUUCGUUCAUUCAUUGUCCCAUCUAGGAGGUUUUGUGUCUUAGCAGCGUGUUCCAUAGCAACACAUCCCUGUAUCAAAACAUUCAUCAUAUUAUUUUGAUAUUCUCUGCUUAGGUAUGUAUUUUUCCCACUAAGUUUAGAACUGGUUAAGGACAGGCUAUGGGGUAUGUAAUAUAUGUACACACACACACAGAUAUAUAUAUUACCAUAGUAAAUAUACAAUAUAGAUUUAUAUAUACACACACAUAUAUAUUUCUCCCUCUAUAUACACAAAACACACACACACACGUAUACACACACACAUAUAUAUGAAAUACACACACACACACACACACUUCUACUGCCAAGCACAGAAAGUCAAAACUAGGCAAGGGUUCUUUAAGUGUUCAUGAAAAAAUAGAUGUGCUUAGUUGAGAGCGUCCUUAAGUUGCCAGGGGAAAUACAGGAUGGAUUCACUAAGGGAGAUUUUUUUUCUUUCUUUCUUUAACUCUUGAAUUCGAAAUAAUCCAGACUUAUUGAACAGUUGCAAAAAUAGUACAGAGAAUUCCUGUAUGGUCUUCCCUCAGAUUCCCCAAACAUUUCACCCCAUUUGCACUUUCUUUUUCUCUCUCUGUGGAUAUAUAUAUUUUUUUUCUGAAAUGUUUGAGAGUGGAAGGUAGAAUGCAGGGCAGGGUGAAAGGCGGAAGGAGAGAGUUGGGUUGGGAGGCUGUUUUUUUUUUUUAACCUUCUGAGAUGGAGUUUCGCUCUUGUCAUCCAGGCUGCAGUGCAAUGGCACGAUCUCGGCUCACUCUAACCUCUGCCUUCUGAGUUCAAGUGAUUCUCCUGCUUCAGCCUUCCGAAUAGCUGGGAUUACAGGCACCCACCACCAUGCUCGGCUAAUUUUUUGUAUUUUUAGUAGAGGGGUUUCACCAUGUUGUCCAGGCUGGUCUUGAACUCCUGACCUCUGAUGAUCCACCUGCCUUGGCCUACCAAAGUGCUUGGGAUUACAGGCGUGAGCCACUCUGCCUGGCGAUUGGGAGGCUUUUACAGUAACCCAGAGCACUAUGAUGAGGGCUGGACGUGGUUGGAAAUGAUGAGGAAGGUGAGAAGGGGU